CCUACGGGAGGCAGCAGUGGGGAAGAUUGCACAAUGGGGGAAACCCUGAUGCAGCGACGCCGCGGGAGUGAAGAAGUAUCUCGGUACGUAAAGCUCUAACAGCAGGGAAGAAAAUGACGGUACCUGACUAAGAAGCCCCGGCUAACUACGUGCCAGCAGCAGCGGUAAGACGUAGGGGGCAAGCGUUAUCCGGAUUUACUGGGUGUAAAGGGAGCGGAGACGGCAGCACAAGUCUGGAGUGAAAUCCCGGGGCUUAACCCCGGAACUGCUUUGGAAAAUGUGCGGCUGGAGUGCAGGAGGGGUAAGCGGAAUUCCUAGUGUAGCGGCGAAAUGCGUAGAUAUCACGAAGAACUCCGAUUGCGAAGGCAGCUUACUAAACUGCCACUGACAUUGAUGCUCGAAAGUGUGGGUAUCAAACAGGAUUAGAUACCCGAGUAGUC
RNAcentral lists this ribosomal RNA (440 nucleotides) under uncultured bacterium. RNAcentral's name for it is "partial 16S ribosomal RNA". It matches the Rfam family "Bacterial small subunit ribosomal RNA", at positions 338 to 795 of the family's 1533-position model. The record is from RNAcentral.